RNAcentral lists this long non-coding RNA (656 nucleotides) under Homo sapiens (human). RNAcentral describes it as "HSALNT0382367". Lineage: Eukaryota; Metazoa; Chordata; Mammalia; Primates; Hominidae. The record is from RNAcentral.
GGCCUCACUCGAGCAGACCCCGCCCUCCCAGAGGCCGUUUGUCCAAGUCACGUGAUCGUCGAAUCUGUUGACCUGGCGCCACCGGAAAAAGAAAUUCCCGGGCCCUGGCUUCUUGGCCUGAUGGCACUGCUAGCCUUGAAGCCUCCAGCCUGCUGGAUGCCUCCAUCCCCGGCUAUGCUGUGGCUCUCCUCAUUCUAGGCCUCCUGCUCGUCACAUUCACCCUUGUCCUGGUGCUAAAGUGGAGGGCCUCCCAUGGGGUGUUCAGCCUGGGUGUGUAGAAGCACACAGUGUGGUACAGAGGACCCUCUCCAGACAGGUGACCCCUCAUGCUGCUGCUCCCUCUGCUGAAACCCAAACUGCAAACCUCUCCUCUCCCUGCCUUCACCUUGCCCCACGGCUUCCACAGACAGUGCCUCAACCCCGAGGAAUGAAUCCGAAGUUCCAACACCACUGACUUUCCCAGGAACUCAGAGCCAGAGAGGGCCAAGGACCAGCUCGAGGACACACAGCCAGGGCUUCUUCCCUCCGAAACCCCCAAGGACUGGACUUGCAGGGCUGGGACAGAGGUGGGGUGGGGGAAAGCAAUGCCUUGUCAACCCACGUGGGGAGCCCCACUCCCAUCCCCAAGGUGCAUAAAGUUGAGGAACACCCCUGCU